UGAAGUGGAGUAGCUCCAGGUUGGUCUGAAGCCUGAUCCAAAUCUUUCCUUCCAGUGCAAUAAUGAAUUUAAUGGACUGAUUAAUAAUAUUUUCUUUUUUGGAAGUAAGUCCCAGUGAUUAUAAAUGAAUCUCUCAAGAUGCACAAUCCCACUUUUCAGAUCAAUGAAUACCAUCUUGCACGAUCAAAUGCAGCAUUCAAGUCAUCUCUACAUUUUGAUGGAUAUGGCUGUAGAUUCAUUUGUUGCAACAACAACAACAACAACAACAACAACAACAACAACAACAACAACAAGCUGAUCAACCUGCUUGGUGCCUGGGCCUGAGACAAGAGCCGGGGUUUAAGACUGUGAGUUUUGAGAUUUUAGUUGGCUUCACUAGUUAAAAACUGGUGUAACCACAGUAUUGGAGCCUUGGUGGCGCAGCAGACUAAAGUGCUGUUAAGUAACACCAGCUGCCUGCAAUUACUGCAAGUUCAAAUCUCACCAGGCUCAAGGUUGACUCAGCCUUCCAUCCUUCCGAGACAUUUUAAUCGCAAGUGCACACAGUAUUUGUGAACUGCCGAGAGUCCCUAACUGGAUUGCAGCAGGAUAUAAAUAUAAUAAAUAAUCUUUUUUUCUGAAGUCUCAACAUCUUUUUUACAUCGUGACAACAAAACCUUCAUUGUGGAUUCACAGCCUCCCUGCCAUAGUAUUCAUGAAGCCAAACACUUCCAAACAGAAUUGGAGAAGGUUUCCAAAAGGCUUUUGGCCAACAUAAAAGCCUAUAGCUGCUUCCUUGCAGGUUACUACAGGACUUUUAUAUCACAGUAGAGGUGCGCUAUCCCCAAAUAAACUUUAACAAGAAAAAAGGAUGAUGCACAUGGUAACCCUGAUGUUGUCCCUUCAGUAAUCUCACCCCUGCUUCCAGCUCUUGUAUCACUUUAGUGGGAGUCUCUAAGCAGCCAUUCAUGGGCCUUUUGCAAUACUAGGCUUUUUCUCUAUAUAUAAAAUCUUAGUAUGAGGAACUAAUGGCCGUGUUAAUGUUUUACAGGAGCAAAUACAAAAUCUUGAUAAAACAUUUUAGGAAGAA
This is a non-coding RNA of Pantherophis guttatus, 1069 nucleotides long. The record is from RefSeq and is a predicted model, not a curated record. Lineage: Eukaryota; Metazoa; Chordata; Lepidosauria; Squamata; Colubridae.